CCACAGUUCGACUGCUCCAACCUCGGCGAUUCUCUACCCAAGCUCGAAUGAGGAGCGUGGAGGGGAGGUCGAUCGCCUUCGCCUUUACGAUCGAGAUGGUCAUCUUGGAAUGACCCGUGACGUCACGGACUUCGCAAACAAUUUCAAUUAAAUCUCUCCCAAUCAA
Molecule: long non-coding RNA, 166 nt
Filed under: Ixodes scapularis (black-legged tick)
Lineage: Eukaryota; Metazoa; Arthropoda; Arachnida; Ixodida; Ixodidae
Description: uncharacterized LOC120849535
Source: RNAcentral